GCCUUCGUGGUGUAAUGGUCAGCAGCACACUGAGCCGGUAAUUCAGAGGUCCGCGGUUCGAUCCCUGGCGAAGGCA
This 76-nucleotide transfer RNA is filed under the name Stegodyphus mimosarum. It matches the Rfam family "tRNA". Rfam says of the family: Transfer RNA (tRNA) molecules are approximately 80 nucleotides in length. Lineage: Eukaryota; Metazoa; Arthropoda; Arachnida; Araneae; Eresidae. The record is from Rfam by way of RNAcentral.